Spinacia oleracea (spinach) is the source of this 468-nucleotide long non-coding RNA. RefSeq lists it as uncharacterized. Lineage: Eukaryota; Viridiplantae; Streptophyta; Magnoliopsida; Caryophyllales; Amaranthaceae. The record is from RefSeq and is a predicted model, not a curated record. The transcript has 2 exons.
UAAAACCCCGUGUUUGAAGCCCAAUUAAGACAAAAAUACAAAACCCACGUGAGAGUUUUUUGCCCUAAGAUCGUCUUUUCUGCGCUGCUACUGUACUUCCUCUUCUUCUCCCCUUUACUCAGUUAUUUAUGUCUUUAUUUUGAAGCUCGAAUUGUUGCUCGCUGCUCGAAAUGAAGCUCGCUGCUCGAAUUUGAUGCGCCACGCUGCUACAUCACUUCUCGUCUUCUCCACGCUGCUACAUCAAGGUUCUAGAAUAUGGCAAGUUCGUCUACCAGAAAACGGAAAUUUCGACUAUGAUGAAAAUUAAUUUGUUUUGUUGGUUAUUUAGAUUAAUUACUAAAAGUUGUAAACUUGUAAUGCUUAAAAAAUAUUUUCCUUGUAUUUUUUUAGAAUUGUAAACUUUAAAAUAACAUUUAUAGAAUUGUGUUAACCAUGUAUGACACUAAUAUUGAUCUUAUGUGAGCAAAA